RNAcentral lists this ribosomal RNA (508 nucleotides) under uncultured prokaryote. RNAcentral describes it as "bacterial SSU rRNA". It matches the Rfam family "Archaeal small subunit ribosomal RNA", at positions 360 to 870 of the family's 1478-position model. The record is from RNAcentral.
GGAAGCCGUGAUAAGGAAACCCCUUAGUGCCAGCACAGGCUGGCUGUCCACCAGAUGUAAAUAACUGGUGAAGAAAGGGCCGGGCAAGACCGGUGCCAGCCGCCGCGGUAAUACCGGCGGCUCGAGUGGUGGCCGCUAUUACUGGGCUUAAAGGGUCCGUAGCUGGAUAUACAAGUCCCUUGAGAAAUCCGCCGGCUUAACCGGUGGGCGUUCAGGGGAAACUGUAUUUCUAGGGACCGGGAGAGGUGAGAGGUACUGCCGGGGUAGGAGUGAAAUCCUGUAAUCCCGGUGGGACCACCUAUGGCGAAGGCAUCUCACCAGAACGGGUCCGACAGUGAGGGACGAAAGCUGGGGGAGCAAACCGGAUUAGAUACCCGGGUAGUCCCAGCUGUAAACUAUGCAAACUCAGUGAUGCAUUGGCUUAUGGCCAAUGCAGUGCUGCAGGGAAGCCGUUAAGUUUGCCGCCUGGGAAGUACGUACGCAAGUAUGAAACUUAAAGGAAUUGGCG